AUGCGCCACCUCGGGCUCCGCCCGGACGCCGCGCACUACAACGCGCUCCUCGAGGGCCUCCUCGCUCGGGCGCACCUCCGCCUCGCCGACCGCUUCCUCCUCCAGAUGGCCGACGACGGGGUCGCGCGGAACCGGCGCACCUACAUGCUCCUGCUGGACGCCUACGCCACUCACCAUGCAGGUGCGCACCUGAAUCUCGACCCAGAGUGGCGUCGAACAGUUGACACGUCCUUCUCGCCGGGAAUUUGUUUACGGUUUUCCACGCGACUUUGA
RNAcentral lists this ribosomal RNA (273 nucleotides) under Triticum aestivum (bread wheat). Its description in RNAcentral is "partial small subunit ribosomal RNA". The record is from RNAcentral. Lineage: Eukaryota; Viridiplantae; Streptophyta; Magnoliopsida; Poales; Poaceae.